Molecule: small nuclear RNA, 104 nt
Organism: Gorilla gorilla gorilla (western lowland gorilla)
Lineage: Eukaryota; Metazoa; Chordata; Mammalia; Primates; Hominidae
Source: Ensembl
GUGCUCACUUCAGCAGUACAUAUACUAAAAUUAAAACAAUACAGAGAUUAGCAUGGCCCAUGUGCAAGGAUGACAUGCAAAUUCGUGAAGAGUUCCAUAUUUUU